RNAcentral lists this ribosomal RNA (374 nucleotides) under uncultured organism. RNAcentral describes it as "partial 16S ribosomal RNA". It matches the Rfam family "Bacterial small subunit ribosomal RNA", at positions 527 to 896 of the family's 1533-position model. The record is from RNAcentral.
GUAGGUGGCAAGCGUUGUCCGGAAUUAUUGGGCGUAAAGCGCGCGCAGGUGGUUCUUUAAGUCUGAUGUGAAAGCCCCCGGCUCAACCGGGGAGGGUCAUUGGAAACUGGGGAACUUGAGUGCAGGAGAGGAAAGUGGAAUUCCACGUGUAGCGGUGAAAUGCGUAGAUAUGUGGAGGAACACCAGUGGCGAAGGCGACUUUCUGGCCUGUAACUGACACUGAGGCGCGAAAGCGUGGGGAGCAAACAGGGAUUAGAUACCCUGGUAGUCCACGCCGUAAACGAUGAGUGCUAAGUGUUGGGGGGGUUUCCCGCCCCUCAGUGCUGCAGCUAACGCAUUAAGCACUCCGCCUGGGGAGUACGGCCGCAAGACUG